CCUACGGGUGGCAGCAGUGGGGAAUAUUGGGCAAUGGGCGCAAGCCUGACCCAGCAACGCCGCGUGAAGGAAGAAGGCUUUCGGGUUGUAAACUUCUUUUGACAGGGAAGAGCAGAAGACGGUACCUGUCGAAUAAGCCACGGCUAACUACGUGCCAGCAGCCGCGGUAAUACGUAGGUGGCAAGCGUUGUCCGGAUUUACGGGGGGGAAAGGGCGUGUAGCCGGGCUGACAAGUCAGAUGUGAAAUCCGGGGGCUCAACCCCCGAACUGCAUUUGAAACUGUUGGUCUUGAGUAUCGGAGAGGCAGGCGGACUUCCUAGUGUAGCGGUGAAAUGCGUAGAUAUUAGGAGGAACCCCAGUGGCGAAGGCGGCCUGCUGGACGACAACUGACGGUGAGGCGCG
This 402-nucleotide ribosomal RNA is filed under the name uncultured bacterium. RNAcentral describes it as "partial 16S ribosomal RNA". It matches the Rfam family "Bacterial small subunit ribosomal RNA", at positions 338 to 755 of the family's 1533-position model. The record is from RNAcentral.